This 18-nucleotide unclassified non-coding RNA is filed under the name Mus musculus (house mouse). RNAcentral describes it as "oocyte_clustered_small_RNA2527". The record is from RNAcentral. Lineage: Eukaryota; Metazoa; Chordata; Mammalia; Rodentia; Muridae.
UCUGUCAAGCACUCCUGG